RNAcentral lists this non-coding RNA (78 nucleotides) under Tatumella ptyseos. RNAcentral's name for it is "Fluoride sequence". It matches the Rfam family "Fluoride riboswitch aptamer (crcB RNA motif)". The record is from RNAcentral. RNAcentral also lists the same sequence under 1 other name. Lineage: Bacteria; Pseudomonadati; Pseudomonadota; Gammaproteobacteria; Enterobacterales; Erwiniaceae.
UUGUUACGGGGUGAUGGUGUUCCACCUCAACCAACCGCCAGUCCGUUUCAUGGAAUGGCUGAUGACGCCUGACAUAAU